Molecule: ribosomal RNA, 376 nt
Filed under: uncultured Psychrilyobacter sp.
Lineage: Bacteria; Fusobacteriati; Fusobacteriota; Fusobacteriia; Fusobacteriales; Fusobacteriaceae
Description: bacterial SSU rRNA
Rfam family: Bacterial small subunit ribosomal RNA
Source: RNAcentral
UGUCGGUGGCGGACGGGUGAGUAACGCGUAAAGAAUUUGCCCUUCAGACCGGGACAACUAAUCGAAAGGUUAGCUAAUACCGGAUAUUAUGAGACCUUGGCAUCAAGGACUUAUGAAAGCUAUAUGCGCUGGAGGAGAACUUUGCGUUCCAUUAGCUAGUUGGUAGGGUAAUGGCCUACCAAGGCGACGAUGGAUAGCCGGCCUGAGAGGGUGAACGGCCACAAGGGGACUGAGACACGGCCCUUACUCCUACGGGAGGCAGCAGUGGGGAAUAUUGGACAAUGGACCAAAAGUCUGAUCCAGCAAUUCUGUGUGCACGAUGAAGGUCUUCGGAUUGUAAAGUGCUUUCAGGUGGGAAGAAGAAAGUGACGGUACC